GCAGCUUGGACACUCACUCUCACUGUGAUCCUCUACUUUUCAGUACGUUCCAGCCCAUGCUCCGCCCCCAGCUGCCACCCAGCCUCUUGGUCACUGAGGCCCCAGGACUGGGAGCCCUCCACAAACCAGAAAGCCCCAUUCUGCAGACUUUAUGGGCAGAGGACAUUAGCAUCCCUGGGGUCAUGUGGCUGAGGACAAUUCCUCUCCAGGGGACUCCCACUCCAAGAGACAAAUUUUGAGGGAGGUAACAAUCCCCGGAGCCAGUACAACCUCACUGAACAAACGGCUGCCUUGUCGGUUAGCCCAGGCCUGGAGUUGGCCCUGGGCAACAUUGCAUGGGGUCUCCAGUCCCUGUGUUGAAGCUUCACACCCAUCUGGCUGCUGCCACCAGCUGCCGCUCUGGGACCCACCCUCCUGCCCUGCUCUGGCCUCCAAGACAGAGCACUUGUCACCACCUGACGUAAUAUGUUUUUACUUGUUCAUCAUGUGUUUCUCAAGAAGAAUGUGAGCUCCAUGAGGGAAGAAACUUCAUUUUGUUCUCUGCUAUAUUCUUUAAAUACUGCCUGGUACAUGAGCCUGGAAUUCAUUCUUUCAACAAAUAUGUGAUCUGCACCUAUUGUGGGCUAGUCAACAGCUGUGCCUUCAUGAAGAUUACAGUAUAGCUGGAAAGAAGAAUAAUAAUCUCGUAAACAAAUGAAUGAAGUGAUCCACUUCUAGCAAACAGAAUAAAGUGGAAAUGAUGGCAUGUGACUCCCAAGACUAGGUCCAAAGCUUUGACUUUGCUGUCUGUCUUGGAUCACGCACUCUGGGGAAAGAGUUGCCAUGUCAUGAGGAUGCUCAAGCAAGCCCAAGGAGAGGGUCCCGUCGACAGAAAACAAAGCCCUGAGGCCUCUUGCCAGCAGCCGUGUGAGUGAACCAUCCUGGACACAGGUCUUCAGCUCCACCAAGCCUCCAGAUGCCUGUGGCACCAGCCGACAUCCUGACGACAGCCUCAUGGCAGCCCCUGGCCCAGAGCCACCCAGCGGUUCCAUUCUCCAAUUCCUGACCCACAGAAACUAUGAGAUAAUAAGUGUUUGUUGUUGUAAGUUGCCAAGUUGCUAUAAAUUUAAUACACAGCAACAGAUGACUAAACAGUAUCCUGGAGCACAUCACUUCACCUCACCAUGCCUCCAUUUCCUCACCUGUAAAACAGAGUUAAUAAGAACAUAUGUAUACUGCUGUUCAAAAGAUUAAAAGAAUUAGUAAUUAGGAAGCACUUAGCACAGUGCCUGGUGUAUAUUAAACUUUCAAAAAA
Molecule: long non-coding RNA, 1294 nt
Filed under: Homo sapiens (human)
Lineage: Eukaryota; Metazoa; Chordata; Mammalia; Primates; Hominidae
Description: HSALNT0098139
Source: RNAcentral